Molecule: long non-coding RNA, 386 nt
Filed under: Carica papaya (papaya)
Lineage: Eukaryota; Viridiplantae; Streptophyta; Magnoliopsida; Brassicales; Caricaceae
Description: long non-coding RNA (CPAP_LNC011152)
Source: RNAcentral
UUGGGGAGGAACCGGGUGACCCUGUGGUGGCACCUGGUUGUAUGGUAGGGCACCAAAUUGUACUAUAGUAGUACCAGAUGAUACGGUGAAGGGGCAAGGUUGUAUCAAAAUGGCACUAAAUCCUCUUGUUGUAGAGGUGGAUUAUACUGUGACAAUGGUUAGAUGGUCAAACAACUCCCUCCUCUCUUCCCUGGCCUGUUGGGCAGAUAUGAGUCUCCCCAGCAUCUCGAAUAGCCGAUAACAUCCUCUCGAAGAGACCCAUCUCGAGCUACUCUAUUCAGUAAGGGCCUUCCUCUCCUCAUGUCUUUGUACUUAUUUUUCACAUUGAACGGUUAAAAGAUAGUUUGUCUUUGGUAUUUUUAAGUCUUUGUGUAAGGAAUGGUCCC